CCGCGUACUUCCUCCAUAGUGACACUAAGAACAUGGUGCCUGGAGAUCAGGAUUCCGCUGGAUUUCCCUAAGUUCCCAAGAUGAGGUCCAUGGCAUAGGCAAAAGAGGUCUGCCACCAGGAGACGGUGCAGGGGAAGGGAAGGCAAUAAGGAAAUGACCACCCAGCUCUCCGGCACAAGAGCAGGAUUGAAGCCUUCCCUUGAGCUCAUGAGGCUGGUCAGCUCAUUCACCUGGCAGUAAAACAUGCCUGCCUGUCAAGUUCAUGGUUGGCUGCAUCCAUGGAAGCAAAGCCUUCAAAUAUGGAGGACCAACGGUUCACUGAUGUACUUGAAUGAAGAAUGUAUUUUGGUUUGGUACCUUUGACACUAAUUUUCUGGAGGCCUUACCCAGAAACUUAAUUAGAAAUAGGGUUCAUGAUUCAUGAAACAUGAAUAUUCCUUAUUCAAAAAAGAGACCUAAGCAGGUCACACUCACUUCCAAAGAAAGCCAGCUCAUUAUCAUUCUCUCUCUCCAUACCCAAUACUUGUGUAAUGCAUUCUAGUUUUCAAAGUGAUUUCAUAUACAUUAUCUUAUUUGAGAGGCAAUGUGGUGUAGCAGAAAGAAAAUUAGACCUGAGUCAAGGAAGCUGAAUUGUAGCAUGCUCUCUCCACGAGAUGCCUGUGACCUUGGCGAAGGUACUUAACCUAUGGAGCAGAAGCUUCAUGUGUAGCAUGCCGAUGCCAGACUAGAUAAUCUCCAGGGCCCCUUCCAAUCUAAAACUCUGUAAUUUUACAAUGUAUCUGGCAUAAAAGACUGUGUGUCCAUCCGCACGCAUCUGUGAAUGUGUGUGCGUCUUCUUGAGUGUGAAUUCUUUCAAAUAAAAAGUGUUA
This is a long non-coding RNA of Peromyscus leucopus (white-footed mouse), 869 nucleotides long. RefSeq lists it as uncharacterized. The transcript is spliced from 3 exons. The record is from RefSeq and is a predicted model, not a curated record. Lineage: Eukaryota; Metazoa; Chordata; Mammalia; Rodentia; Cricetidae.